RNAcentral lists this long non-coding RNA (448 nucleotides) under Lathyrus oleraceus (garden pea). RNAcentral's name for it is "Pisum sativum (pea) long non-coding RNA (PSAT_LNC006898)". Lineage: Eukaryota; Viridiplantae; Streptophyta; Magnoliopsida; Fabales; Fabaceae. The record is from RNAcentral.
AAAAAAAGAAACAGAGUGAUAUCGAGAGAGAUCAUGAGGGUCAUGUUUUUCUGAAAUGUUUGUUGUUUUGUUUGAUCGAGAGAAGAGAAAUGAGGGAGAGAAUGAUGUGAUCUUUUUUUAUUUUUUCUUUAAAAAUUAUGUCACAUGUCACAACAACAUUGGGUGUUUGUUAAAUUUUGAAAAAAUGUCAAAAUGUUGGUUUAUUUUAAUAUUUGAUGUGGUGGCUGAGAGUAAGAGGGGUGUCACCCUUCCUCUCUAUAAUGUUUCUUUUUUUCAUUUUUUAUUUUUUAAUAAAGUUUAAUAAUGUUGAAUUAAGAUUGGUUGUUAGUGGGUUGGGCCUUGAGCCCUAUUGUUAUUUUACAAACCCCCAAUACUAAUAUGUACCCUCUUGUUAUUUCUUUUAUUUUUUUAUUUUUUAUUAGUUUAAUUAUUUAAGUUAGUAUUUAAU